Molecule: long non-coding RNA, 696 nt
Filed under: Homo sapiens (human)
Lineage: Eukaryota; Metazoa; Chordata; Mammalia; Primates; Hominidae
Description: HSALNT0125136
Source: RNAcentral
GGCUUUGCGUGGGAAUGUAAAGUGACCCACACCAUAUUCACUUACAUAUACCGCUAGUUGCCAUGUGCUCUUCUCCCUCUCUGUCUGACUCUUCAUUCCUGCCUCCUGUGACCUGGGGACAGAGGACUGCCCUCUUGACUCAUUGUGCCUCCCUGCCCAGGAUCUGAUGUUCUGCUCUGAUUGGCAGGGAGAGUUUGAAGGUGGGUUGGCAGAGACUGUGACCGCAACUGACUGCGUUCUGCAGAAUUAUGGUAAUGAAAUUGGAAGCCAACUUUCGUGAAGCAGAAAGCCUCAAGUUUCCAGGUGCUGUGCUCAGUCCAGGAAUACAAUGAUGAAUACGAUCAAGGCCCUUUCAGAGCUGACACACACUAUACAUAAUGCAUCAAAAAUUGCGUUCUCGCUAUAUUUCUGUUUAUUUGGUUUUAUCUGCAAGAAUAUAGAUAGCAUCUGCUUUGAUAUAAAACUUUUAUGUGUCUUAUGUAGUUGAUUUGUAAAUGUCCUAUCUAUAAAUAUAAAACAAUAAAUUACUAGUUACAGUUAACUUAGGAAAACUUUUAAUCAUGUCCUACAUUUUACACCUUGUAAUUUCUACCAAAUGUUUGUAUUUUUAUGUCUUAUUAAAUAUAAUAAAUAUUUGUCUUAACAUAUUUUAAUAGAAUUCCUCAUAUGUUUUGCAGAAAGCUAAUUAUGGUUUUC